GUAGUGAAAUCUUGAUGCUGAAGAAGUGAAAAACUUUUCAUGAGCAACAAAGGAAAGUAUCCAGGUUCUGGUCUAGUAGGGAAACUGCAUGUGGUUAAAGACCUGACAGAAGUCUGUGCAACUGGGGUAAGAAGUUACAGGAUCUUCAAAUCUCCAUGUCCUGAUCCCGUUUUAGAAGUUUUGGUUACUACUAGGUCCCAUGAUCCUAGCUUCAUGUGUUCUUUUCCAAAUGUAGCUACAUGCAAGAGUUCUUAAGUGUCCUGCUCAUCUCCUACCCAUCAACACAAGUUCUUCCCAGUCAUCUCCCAAUAUUUCUCCUCACAAUGUCACAAGACACACCCAUUCUGUAUCCCCCACAUGACCCUGUAAUUUUCCUAUUUUCCUACAGUGGAUGUCAUGCUGAAUCCAGCCAAUGUUAUUUCUGUUGUUAUCAUGUUUGAAGAUCAGAUACAAGUGACACUUACAUUUUAAGAUUUUUUAAAAUGUACAUCCACAUGAUUUCUCUGCUUUUGACGUCUUAGGCCACCAAAGUUUCCUCUCAGGGAAAUAUUACUGGGAGGUAGAAAUGUCUAGGAAGAUUGCCUGGAUCCUCGGGGUAUGAAGUAAAACAAGUAACCAAUAGAAAUGAGAUCUCUGGGUUUAUUUUUGGCCAAAAAGUUAAUCAUCCAAAUUUUUAUUCCAGAUACAGACCUCAAUAUGGCUACUGGGUUAUAGGGUUACAGAAUGAAUUUGAGUACAAUGCCUUUGAGGACUCUUCCAGCUCCUAUCCCCAGGUUUUGACUCUCCAUGGCUGUUCCUCCCGGGCUCAUUGUUUUUUUCCUAGACUAUGAAGCAAG
This 836-nucleotide long non-coding RNA is filed under the name Equus caballus (horse). RNAcentral describes it as "lncRNA (ENSECAG00000054807.1)". The record is from RNAcentral. Lineage: Eukaryota; Metazoa; Chordata; Mammalia; Perissodactyla; Equidae.